Molecule: ribosomal RNA, 468 nt
Filed under: uncultured bacterium
Lineage: Bacteria
Description: bacterial SSU rRNA
Rfam family: Bacterial small subunit ribosomal RNA
Source: RNAcentral
CCCAGACUCCUACGGGAGGCAGCAGUGAGGAAUAUUGGUCAAUGGGCUUACGCCUGAACCAGCCAAGUCGCGUGAGGGAAGACUGCCCUAUGGGUUGUAAACCUCUUUUGUCAGGGAGCAAGGUCGUCCACGUGUGGGCGUAUGGAGAGUACCUGAAGAAAAAGCAUCGGCUAACUCCGUGCCAGCAGCCGCGGUAAUACGGAGGAUGCGAGCGUUAUCCGGAUUUAUUGGGUUUAAAGGGUGCGUAGGCGGGACCUUAAGUCAGCGGUAAAAUUGCGGUGCUCAACGCCGUAGAGCCGUUGAAACUGGGGCUCUUGAGUGAGCGAGAAGUAUGCGGAAUGCGUGGUGUAGCGGUGAAAUGCAUAGAGAUCACGCAGAACCCCGAUUGCGAAGGCAGCAUACCGGCGCUCAACUGACGCUGAGGCACGAAAGUGCGGGUAUCGAACAGGAUUAGAUACCCCCGUACCC